This is a long non-coding RNA of Populus trichocarpa (black cottonwood), 375 nucleotides long. RefSeq lists it as uncharacterized. The transcript is spliced from 2 exons. NCBI's taxonomy places the organism in Eukaryota, Viridiplantae, Streptophyta, Magnoliopsida, Malpighiales, Salicaceae. The record is from RefSeq and is a predicted model, not a curated record.
UGUUAGCGGGAGGGCGUUGCUAUGUCGCUUUCAUAUCUGACAACUCAGGCUUUAAAAGGCCGCUGUUUUUGGAGGAGGGAGGGAGGGAAGGAGAAGACGGGAGCAGCCGGGAAAAAAAGAAGAAAAGAAAAACCUCCACUUAGCUUUGAUGAAUGCCAUGGAUGUAUGUAAGGUGUCAAGCUAUGGAGGUGGAGUCCUUCGAGGAUGAAGAAGUUGCUAAAUGAUUGAAUGAUUCAUUUGUCAGUAUGAUGGAGGCCAACUUGUUAAUGUUUACUUGGAUACCUUUUCCAUUACAAAUUAACGAUGUCUUCUUCUAUUCUUGAUUAUUUGAAGAGAAACAUGAUUAAUGGAUCAGAAGGUAAAGUAUUUUCAGCA